Molecule: non-coding RNA, 260 nt
Organism: Biomphalaria pfeifferi
Lineage: Eukaryota; Metazoa; Mollusca; Gastropoda; Planorbidae
Source: the annotation of a GenBank genome assembly
AUGAACUCAUUUUUUUUAUAACUCGUGACAUUUUGCAUAAAUUAACAAUUGUGUGCAUUUUCUAAUUUAUUAAAGGUAUGAAAUAUUUUGUAGCUAUAAACUAACGAAACUAUUCAAUUAAAAAAUAUGCUAUAAGUAUAAAGAAAAAUAGAAUAUUAGAUCCAUCUUCACAUACAUCUUUAGCGAAAAAAAAAGUUUUUAAAUUCAAUAGUAUAAACAUAUGCUCAGCCUAUUUAAACCGGAACAAUCAAUGCAAUUUU